UUCUUCUUGAUAGGGUUAAAAAAAAAAAAAAGUAAAAUACAAACAGCUGUAUGAAGUGUGUCUGCAGAAUAAUAACAUCUUUCUAGGAAGGAUGUGCCUGUCGUUCCUUGAAAAUAGCAAAACUUUAUUUCCAUCGUGAGGAAGACUGACUCGCUCAUCUCUGGAGUAUUUUACUUCUGCACCAGGUACACUGCCAUCACCGAACACCGCUGCACUGGAUCCUCUUGGAAAGAUGUGUGUCCUUUGCACGAAGCCCAGCACAGUGGAUGUUAUGGCAGGGCACACUGCCUUGUGUAAUACUAGCUCUGUUUGCACAGGUGUUGGAUGGCUUUAGAGCCUGGAUCCAUGGAUGAUGUGAGUGUCCAGGAGGUCUUCUGUGGCUUACAGACUCUGCUGGGAGGUGAAUGCUUUCAAAAUUAAAUCCUCUUUAGAAUUGCUGAAACCUUCAUGAGUAACAGUCAUCAUUUGCAUUAAAAGCUUUGCUUAUUGCCGAAGUUAUUUCAUAUUCCUUUUGAUUAGUGGCAGAGAAAUAUUAGACUUUGGAUAUAUAAUUCUUUCCUUAUCAUCAGCUUUCUGGGACAUCAGAAAGGAGACAAAAACAGUAAGGGCAGCUGUGCUCUCUGUGAAAUCCAGGGCUACCUGGAUGGUCUGAGGAAUGGCUCUAGUCAUUUAUUUUUCUAAAGCUGCUGGAAACUGCUGCACAGGAACCUAUGUCUGUUUUGUGAAAUGAACAGUUAUAUUUAUUACUGAGAAGGUCAAAAGGAAGGAGAAACUCGCUGAUGGUAUGCAGGCAUCCAGGUAGUGAGAAGCAGGGAGUGGAGAUUUCCACCAGUACUGGUGGAAAGACCAGAGCAGAGGCAGUCACAGCAACAUCUGAUUAAAAUCAGAACUGAUUAAAAUCAGAAGAAAGGACGAAUAAAACAAGAGCGGAUUGAAAGUACA
This 942-nucleotide long non-coding RNA is filed under the name Anas platyrhynchos platyrhynchos (common mallard). RNAcentral's name for it is "lncRNA (ENSAPLG00000021223.1)". The record is from RNAcentral. Lineage: Eukaryota; Metazoa; Chordata; Aves; Anseriformes; Anatidae.